GGAAUCUUGGACAAUGGGGGCAACCCUGAUCCAGCGACGCCGCGUGGGUGAUGAAGGCCUUCGGGUUGUAAAGCCCUUUCACCGGGGACGAUGAUGACGGUACCCGGCGAAGAAGCACCGGCUAACUCCGUGCCAGCAGCCGCGGUAAUACGGAGGGGGCUAGCGUUGUUCGGAAUUACUGGGCGUAAAGCGCACGUAGGCGGCUUUGUAAGUUAGAGGUGAAAGCCCGGAGCUCAACUCCGGAACUGCCUUUAAGACUGCAUCGCUUGAACGUCGGAGAGGUAAGUGGAAUUCCGAGUGUAGAGGUGAAAUUCGUAGAUAUUCGGAAGAACACCAGUGGCGAAGGCGACUUACUGGACGACUGUUGACGCUGAGGUGCGAAAGCGUGGGGAGCAAA
This 397-nucleotide ribosomal RNA is filed under the name uncultured bacterium. RNAcentral's name for it is "bacterial SSU rRNA". It matches the Rfam family "Bacterial small subunit ribosomal RNA", at positions 358 to 772 of the family's 1533-position model. The record is from RNAcentral.